UUUAUAACUUGUUUCAUUUGCCUAAUUACUGUCGUGUGACCAUCUCCAACCAAUUGUAAUAACAUCCGAUAGAAACGAAAUCAUCAUUAGCUCUCGACAUCAUUGGCACAAAUGGCAACCUACGAGUUCAAAAAUUAGAGUUGAAAAUGUUGGUGAAUACCAAUAUCGAAUAACUGGCGAAACAACCCUGGAUUAGUUUUUACUUCGGGUUCGUCAAUUCUCCAUAUAACUCGAGAUGGUGAAUACCGCCAUAAGAUCCGGUAUCAGUUUUUCUGUAAAAUUUCAAUGACGUCUCGACGCGAAAGAUUCCUUUAGGAACUUUUUAAAAUGAAUCUAAUUUCAAAGAUAAUUUGUUUUUGGCACAAACCUGAUACUUAUAACUGAAAGGGAUAACAAAUGAUUUUUUUACUUUAUUGGGAGCAGGGCUGCACCAAGAGUAGUUGCCGCCAGCUGAUCAUUGACCAUCUUGUUAUUUUGUUACAAAACUGAUAGAUUCAGUUUGAAUCUUAUGUUUUUUGGAGAUUAUAAUUUUUGAUAUAUUAGCAUUAAUUAUAAAUUACUAACAAAACAAUAGUAGUGAGUAACCUAAAUCUUAUGUUUAUCAUAUUCUGUUGUGAAAUAUCGAGUGAAGUAAUAUAUUUUUUAACUUAUAAAAUGCACAAUUAUGUUAUACUAACGAUGGAUAACAAUAGAUUUUUAAAUGCACAACAGCUUUUAACUGGACUGCCCAACCUGACGUCAAAUCCUCAAUCAUUUCUAAAAUGUCAGGUUCCAAAGAUCUCCCUAACUCGGAGUGGGUACAGAAAUAACAUCGAUCGGAAGACGAAACUCAAACUUUUCAAAAGAAUCGUACUCUUUUUCUAGUGCAGGCGAGUAAAUUUUGCAUUGGAAAAUUAUAAAUUUGUUUCCUUUCUCUGAUGUUAAAAAGUAUGAAUCAGCAGUUAAAAAUUCAUUCAAAAAAAUUAUAUUUCGGAAACCAUUCCAUAGACAUAAUUCCAAAGCCGUUCUGUUUUGUCAUUACCAAUUACUAAUCUAAACCUUUAUCGUAAUCAUACAUAAAAUUAAUAAUAAAUUUAAGAUUGCAACUUCAUUAGUAAUCUUUUUCAUAUUUUUGUUAAAUAAUAUAAGACACAGUACUGUAAUAAUUAUUGCUCAAAUAUAUUACGUAUCUGGAAUUUAAAUGUUUAUUUUAUUUUAUUUGUUUUGCAUUACAGGCUAUUAUGAAAAAUUAUCACGACGACUAUAUUAUAGUAAUAUACAGUGGCGUAUCAAAAACUGAAUGGUCCUCUAUGCUAGCGAAUUUGAUGGACAUCCAUUUAGAAUUUUUAGUUGCUUCCGUGAAAAGCAUCGUUGACUUGGUGCUUUUCACACUAAAUCUAGUGUCUUUUUA
Molecule: long non-coding RNA, 1390 nt
Filed under: Androctonus crassicauda
Lineage: Eukaryota; Metazoa; Arthropoda; Arachnida; Scorpiones; Buthidae
Source: RNAcentral